CUCCCUCGUCCGCAGCAUCGGCUCCCGCUUCCGUCGUGUCCUCCGAAACCUCGAUGGGUUCCCAAAGCUCUCCGAUCCUCCCCUUGAUUGGAGGAACCAUCGACCCGGCCUGGGCGCACCCAUCCAUGAGGCCCGACAUCUCAACAACCUCGGAGAGAAAAGAGAAAUUAGCGUUCUGCGACUUCCAAAGGGUACCAACCGAACCGCGGCAUUCGCAGAAGUCACCCACGUAGUCUUGAGCGUCCUUGAAGCUCCUGAACUCAGCAUCAAACAAUGUAGCUCUCCUCGCUAACUCAGCAGCAAUCUCCCUCCUCCCUUUCCUCUCCGAACGAAUGAGAGCUCGGGAGUGGGACUCAGCCUGUCUGCGCUCUCUUUCCGCAACCUCGUUCUGAAAACGGAUGAACUUCCUCUCGAUCUCUUC
RNAcentral lists this long non-coding RNA (421 nucleotides) under Brassica napus (rape). RNAcentral's name for it is "long non-coding RNA (BNAP_LNC025490)". The record is from RNAcentral. Lineage: Eukaryota; Viridiplantae; Streptophyta; Magnoliopsida; Brassicales; Brassicaceae.